UAGAGAGAGACAUGCGCGCAUAUCAAUAAGCGGAGGAAAAGAAACUAACUAGGAUUCCCUUAGUAACGGCGAGUGAAGCGGGAAGAGCUCAAAUUUGAAAUCUUCAAGGUUCUACCUUGACGAAUUGUAGUUUAUAAGAAGUGUUUUCUGUUAGGUGUAUUGGCUAAAAGUUCUUUGGAAUAGGACAUCAUAGAGGGUGAGAAUCCCGUAUUUGGUACAUUCCUCCUAGCGUUGUGAUACACUUUCAACGAGUCGGAUUGUUUGGGAAUGCAGUCCAAAAUGGGUGGUAAAUUUCAUCUAAAGCUAAAUAUUGGCGAGAGACCGAUAGCGAACAAGUACCGUGAGGGAAAGAUGAAAAGAACUUUGAAAAGAGAGUUAAACAGUACGUGAAAUUGUCAAAAGGGAAGCGUUUGACACCAGUGUUGUUUUUCCGAAAAUCAAUUACGAAUGUUUUAUUUUUGAGGAGUUAUGACUUCAUCGGCUUGCUCCUUUCUUUACUGAAACUUUCUUAAUGCACUUUUCGGUUAACAAGUCAACAUCAAUUUCUUUUGUUGUAAAAGGGUAUGAGGAAGGUGGCUUUCUUUUCGGAGAAAGUGUUUAUAGCCUCUGUGCCUUCUGCAAUCGGAGAGAUUGAGGUCUGCAGCGUAGAUCCUUCGGGGUUAGAUACAUUUGUGCUAAGUUAUAGCUUUUCAUAGACAACUUGUUGACUAUGUUUAGUCUUGUAGCUUACUCGCUUACGCUAUUUUACCUACGCUUAGGAUGUUGAUAGUCACAGCGUGUAC
Molecule: ribosomal RNA, 782 nt
Filed under: uncultured Neocallimastigales
Lineage: Eukaryota; Fungi; Neocallimastigomycota; Neocallimastigomycetes; Neocallimastigales
Description: partial large subunit ribosomal RNA
Rfam family: Eukaryotic large subunit ribosomal RNA
Source: RNAcentral